AGAAAGUGCUAGGCACGUAGGCGUUCAGGAGACAGUCACGGUACUCGUUUCCAGACAGAAGUCAUGAGGAACAAGAGGGAAGGUGCUUUCCCGUGUGCAGCGCUUGGGGAGACUCACACAGACAGAGGAUCUGGCAUGACAGGGAAAGGAGGAAAUGGCUUCUGUUAAUCUCUCCUUCAGCUUCUCCCGCCCUUCCCAUGCACUCUUCCUGUUUCCCUUUCCAGUUCUCACGGUGACUCAAGGAACAACGUGUGAAAUGAAAGACCUCAGGUGCUGUAUUGGCUCUUGACAGCUCUUCAGAAGAAAAUACCUCCUGCCUGUUCUGUUCAGUCCUGGUGCAGGUGGUCCUGGACAACACUUUGAAAAAUGCUGGGGCAGAAACAAGCCAGCAAGCAUAUGGGAUUCAUCUGCUAAGAGAUUAGGACACAGAUGCACACAGAGGGAAGACCAUAUGAACACAGAGGGAGAAGACAGCCACCUGCAAGCCACAGAGAGAGCCCUUCAAAGAAACCAACCCUGCAGACAAUUUGAUCUCAGGUUUCUGGCCUCCAGAAUUGUGAGAAAAUAAAUUUCUGUUGUUUAAGUCA
RNAcentral lists this long non-coding RNA (587 nucleotides) under Homo sapiens (human). RNAcentral describes it as "HSALNT0315623". The record is from RNAcentral. Lineage: Eukaryota; Metazoa; Chordata; Mammalia; Primates; Hominidae.